Molecule: ribosomal RNA, 433 nt
Filed under: uncultured bacterium
Lineage: Bacteria
Description: partial 16S ribosomal RNA
Rfam family: Bacterial small subunit ribosomal RNA
Source: RNAcentral
AACGAACGCUGACGGCAUGCCUAACACAUGCAAGUCGAACGAGACCUUCGGGUCUAGUGGCGCACGGGUGCGUAACGCGUGGGAACCUGCCCUUAGGUUCGGAAUAACUCCCCGAAAGGGGUGCUAAUACCGGAUAAUGUCUUCGGACCAAAGAUUUAUCGCCUUUGGAUGGGCCCGCGUUGGAUUAGCUAGUUGGUAGGGUAAAAGCCUACCAAGGCGACGAUCCAUAGCUGGUCUGAGAGGAUGAUCAGCCACACUGGGACUGAGACACGGCCCAGACUCCUACGGGAGGCAGCAGUGGGGAAUAUUGGACAAUGGGCGAAAGCCUGAUCCAGCAAUGCCGCGUGAGUGAUGAAGGCCUUAGGGUUGUAAGGCUCUUUUACCCGGGAUGAUAAUGACAGUACCGGGAGAAUAAGCUCCGGCUAACUCCGUG